CCUACGGGAGACUGCAGUAGGGAAUAUUGCUCAAUGGGGGAAACCCUGAAGCAGCAACGCCGCGUGGAGGAUGAAGGUUUUCGGAUUGUAAACUCCUUUUGUUAGAGAAGAUAAUGACGGUAUCUAACGAAUAAGCACCGGCUAACUCCGUGCCAGCAGCCGCGGUAAUACGGCGGGUGCAAGCGUUACUCGGAAUCACUGGUCGUAAAGAGCGCGUAGGCGGGAUAGCAAGUCAGAUGUGAAAUCCUAUGGUUUAACCAUAGAACUGCAUUUGAAACUUUUAUUCUAGGGUAUGGGGGAGGUAGGUGAAAUGCUGGGUGUAGGGGGAAAUUCCGUAGAGACCAAGAGGAAUACUCAUGGCGAGGGCGACCUGCAAUAACAUAACGGACGCUGAUGCGCGAAAGCGUGGGGAGCAAACAGGAUUAGAGACCCCAGUAGUC
Molecule: ribosomal RNA, 440 nt
Filed under: uncultured bacterium
Lineage: Bacteria
Description: partial 16S ribosomal RNA
Rfam family: Bacterial small subunit ribosomal RNA
Source: RNAcentral